Molecule: ribosomal RNA, 603 nt
Filed under: Vibrio parahaemolyticus
Lineage: Bacteria; Pseudomonadati; Pseudomonadota; Gammaproteobacteria; Vibrionales; Vibrionaceae
Description: bacterial SSU rRNA
Rfam family: Bacterial small subunit ribosomal RNA
Source: RNAcentral
GGUAGUGUUAAUAGCACUAUCAUUUGACGUUAGCGACAGAAGAAGCACCGGCUAACUCCGUGCCAGCAGCCGCGGUAAUACGGAGGGUGCGAGCGUUAAUCGGAAUUACUGGGCGUAAAGCGCAUGCAGGUGGUUUGUUAAGUCAGAUGUGAAAGCCCGGGGCUCAACCUCGGAAUUGCAUUUGAAACUGGCAGACUAGAGUACUGUAGAGGGGGGUAGAAUUUCAGGUGUAGCGGUGAAAUGCGUAGAGAUCUGAAGGAAUACCGGUGGCGAAGGCGGCCCCCUGGACAGAUACUGACACUCAGAUGCGAAAGCGUGGGGAGCAAACAGGAUUAGAUACCCUGGUAGUCCACGCCGUAAACGAUGUCUACUUGGAGGUUGUGGCCUUGAGCCGUGGCUUUCGGAGCUAACGCGUUAAGUAGACCGCCUGGGGAGUACGGUCGCAAGAUUAAAACUCAAAUGAAUUGACGGGGGCCCGCACAAGCGGUGGAGCAUGUGGUUUAAUUCGAUGCAACGCGAAGAACCUUACCUACUCUUGACAUCCAGAGAACUUUCCAGAGAUGGAUUGGUGCCUUCGGGAACUCUGAGACAGGUGCUGCAUGG